This 329-nucleotide ribosomal RNA is filed under the name uncultured eukaryote. RNAcentral describes it as "partial 18S ribosomal RNA". It matches the Rfam family "Eukaryotic small subunit ribosomal RNA", at positions 1470 to 1796 of the family's 1831-position model. The record is from RNAcentral.
CCCUUAGAUGUUCUGGGCCGCACGCGCGCUACACUGAUGCAUUCAACGAGUCUAAAACCUGCUCUGAUAGGGGUGGGUAAUCUUUUGAAUGUGCAUCGUGAUUGGGAUAGAUGAUUGCAAUUUUUCAUCUUCAACGAGGAAUGCCUAGUAAACGCAAGUCAUUAGCUUGCAUUGAUUACGUCCCUGCCCUUUGUACACACCGCCCGUCGCUCCUACCGAUUGAAUGAUCCGAUGAAUAUCAUGGAUUGAGGAUGCAAGUAGGUUCGCCUAUCUUCAUCUUCGAGAAGUGAAGUAAAUCUUAUCAUUUAGAGGAAGGAGAAGUCGUAACA